AUGCGGAGGAAGGUGGGGAUGACGUCAAAUCAUCAUGCCCCUUACGUCCCGGGCUACACACGUGCUACAAUGGCCUGUACAGAGGGUAGCGAAAGAGCGAUCUUAAGCCAAUCCCAAAAAGCAGGCCCCAGUUCGGAUUGGAGGCUGCAACUCGCCUCCAUGAAGUAGGAAUCGCUAGUAAUCGCGGAUCAGCAUGCCGCGGUGAAUACGUUCCCGGGCCUUGUACACACCGCCCGUCACACCACGAAAGUUGGCGAUACCUGAAGUUACUAGGCUAACCCAGCACUCAACUUGUUGAGUGCUCGGAGGCAGGUACCGAAGGUAUGGCUGGCGAUUGGGGUG
Molecule: ribosomal RNA, 342 nt
Filed under: marine sediment metagenome
Description: SSU rRNA
Rfam family: Bacterial small subunit ribosomal RNA
Source: RNAcentral